UAUUUCUUCUUAUUGCUUCUAUAUGAAACUUGAUGGUGCCUUGACAUAUUCAUGUUUACAAGUGAAAUUAUCAUUUUACUGUUAAACUUUUGGCAUUUAAACAUUUUGAGGGUCGACUUGAAGCUUCCUGGUUGCAGAGCUGUGUGGAUGUUGAUGCUGUGGACAUGGUUGGGUUGUCUUAAUGUUGUGUGAAGAGUAAAUAUAAAUCUAGAUUUUUCCGUAACGAUGACGCUCAGUUCUUCUCUUGGUCACUGCGGGAAGAGGAAGAGCAGUCGGGAUGUAAAUAUGUGACUGUAGCUUCAUAUUUUAGGCAGAGCUGCAGUUCCAUGUUUCUUCUGAAGAUGCUCAGUUUUGUGAUCUUCUGUCAUGUUUGGUUCCUGAUCCACGGCAGAGAAAACUCCACAGGUCUUCAGACAAGAAGUGUCAGUUCAAUGGACAGUCCAUCUCCUCAGUCAGUGAUCCGGUUUUCAGUCCCAGAGGAUCACCACAUCUGUCUGCCAUGCGACCUCUCCGACAGCUCCGAUGUGGUCUGGACCUUCCAGGACAGGAAGGUUCUGGUGACCCGACAGGGCAGCUACGAGACUAACGAGGACAGCCGGCGCUACCGUCUGCAGUCUGACGGCGGACUCUGCCUCCAGCAGCUUGACGACUCGGACGACGGAGGAUACCGCUGUAACCAGCUGCUGGUGGCCGAGCUGCAGGUGCUGUCAGGCCAGGACUUCAGUGUGUCUGAAGGACGGACGCUGCUGCUGCCCUGCAGAUCCUCAAGACUCAGACUGAGGUGGAGUCGUCAGAAGGAGGGAGGGAGGCAGGAGGUCAUCUUCACCCGGUUCAAAGACGGGACGGUGAAGUCGGAGAUGGACAGCAGCCGGCUGAGCUUCACCAACGACGCCCUGCAGAUCCAGGAUCUGCAGCUGGAUGACACCGGAGAGUAUUUGUGCAACGGAGUCCUGCAGGCCAGAGUGGGCGUGUUGACAGGCCGGUUAUUAAUUGCUCAUAUUUAACAUAUAUACUACCAUAGAAGUAUAUCAUACUUCUAUGGUAGUAUAUCGUGUAACUAACAUGAUAAAUAUGAAUACAUAACUCGGAAUUAGUGCUGAUGAACAUCUAUUACAACAGCUUUAAUGUGUUUUUAUCAUUCUGACCUGUUUAAGAUUCAUUGUUUUGCAUUUUAUACUUAAAAUCCGUCAUUCUGCCGAUAAUAAUUAUUUAUAAUUAUUUACAGCAUGUGCUUCCAGACUGUAAACAUCAGAACUUUAUUUGGCCAAAUUUGCAGUUUUUAUAGUCUUACCUUUAAGUCAAUGCUUUUUAAAAAAAAAAAAUUCAUUGUUUUUCACUCAAAACUACAGAAAAAGCCCAGUUUCAUUGUGAAUAUUUAACUCUGUUUCUAGAAUGACUUUUUACCAUAAAAUAACUCUUCUGAGACAUGUUUAGCAGGUAUUGUAUAUUUGAACAUUGUUCUGUUGUUCUUGAUCAAUUAAAUACAAUUUUAAUUCAUUUCUUUGACUUAUCAGUGGACCAUGAGCCAACCAGCAUCCCAACAUCCACCAGUACAGCUCAAACAUCUGCAGUGAUGAAGACGGACAUGGUUGAAACAAAGAAGAAAGAGAAGAAGAGGCCAGAGAACGCUCUGCUGCUGGUCGUAGUCGUGGGUUUGGGGUUGAUGAUUGUCUUCAUGGCGUCUGUCUGCGUAUUACUGACCAGCAUGAAGUGCAGGAGGAGGAAGAAGCACAGAUAUGCAGCAGCACUGAGACAUGAAGACACCGAGCUGCAGCCGUGGAAGACUUCCAGUGGACAAACCGACUCUGAGGCUGUCGAGGAGACGAUCCAUUACGCCUCUCUGGGCCGACAGAACUGGAGGGAAAGACCCGGCAGGACUCCAGCGGACCAGAGUGUGAUCUACUCGUCCGUCAUCACCAGACCUGCUGCCAGAUAGAAACGCAAACACGCCGAGUCCGAAUCAUUCGUUUGUCUUUAAACUGUCUCUACGCCACAGUCAUCGUCUCCUUUGUCUCAGAACAAACCCACUCAUGGAUUAAUAAAUUAUGGAUUCAUUUAUUCCAUCUCAGAUCAGGAAUCUUCUGCUGGAGCGUCUCUGAUUUACCUACAACUCUAUCUUACUGUAUUUAUCAACCAUUGACAUAAAAUGUUUACAAAAACUGCCCAAUGAUCCAAAAAAAAUGUUGGAAAACUACGUCUGAAAUCAUCACAGGCUUUCUGCUCAACCAUCUGAUUUCUGUUAAACCUUUCAAUCAUAAACUUUUAAAACAGCAUGAGUGAAAUUAGAUUAAUAUUUAAAACUGUUUGCAAGACAAUUAAAAAUAAAAUCGCCUCAAAAAAUAAGCUAAAAGUUUGUCAACACAAUUUUAAGAGAACUUAUAUCUUGAUGUUUGAUAUCUUGAUCUAAAAUGUCUGUAGUGUCUUUAUUAAUAUCCAUAUUUCAUGAUAUAAGAAAAUGAGAAAAAUCAGAGAUGGUCAAAAAAGUGUUGGCUUCAGAUGGAUUUACUCUUAAAAGAGUGAAUUGUUCUUUUUCCAGUUUAACUAAAGCUUAAGCCUGACAGGAGGCUUAAAUGACAGCUUUUCACAGAGAUGAACUCAACUUUAGUGAUUAUAAAUCAAUAUAUUCUGACAAAACAGCUCAAAGUUAGAAACUUAAAUAUCAUUUCAGCAUUAUACCAUUAAACUAUAAACAUGUGAAACGGCUUCAUCUCCACUGGUUUUGUGUCUUUAUGAAUUAAAAAGUUUUCCAAGCUCUAUAUUUAAAUCUUAAUAUAAAUAAAAAUGGAUUCAGUGAUUUAAAAAAAUCUGAAGCAGAAUUUCCAAACCACAUUUUCUGACUGUUGGUUUCUGUAUAAAUGAUUUAAUGAAACAUGUCUUUAUCCUUUCAUUCUGCAGAUUGUUUCAUCACAGCUAGAAAAUGUCAUCCAGUUUCCUCUAAAUGUUCAACAGGAAAGUGUGACGCUUUUGCUGCUUUUGACAUUUAAAUGAAACCAACUGACUGAAGUCUUUAUUUCCCUCUAUUUAUCUGCACAUAGGUCUUUAUUUCCCUCUAUUUAUCUGCACAUAGGUCUUUAUUUCCCUCUAUUUAUCUGCACAUAGGUCUUUAUUUCCCUCUAUUUAUCUGCACAUAGGUCUUUAUUUCCCUCUAUUUAUCUGCACAUAGGUCUUUAUUUCCCUCUAUUUAUCUGCACAUAGGUCUUUAUUUCCCUCUAUUUAUCUACACAUCGGUCUUUAUUUCCCUUUAUUUAUCUACACAUAGGUCUUUAUUUCCCUCUAUUUAUCUGCACGGACUUGUAGGGAUUUUAAUGUUGAGUCUCCUCUUCUCUCAUGAAGUAAAAGUGAAAGAAAAUAAUAAAGCUGUUAUUUCUGACCAGGUCACACCCUGAAAAUGAUUAGCUCCAGUCAGUUAACUUGUGUAAAUCUGCACAGAAAUAAUAAAGUCAGAAAACAUACCUGCGUUUGAGGAAGCCGGAUGGUGUCACUUCACACGGGAAACACCUGAAAAGAAAUGUAAAAAUGACAAAACAAUAAAUAUCCACAUGACAAAAAACAUAAAAUGAGUAAAAGCAGGUUUAGGUAUGAGAAGAGUUUAUUGGAAAAGGAACAUUUAACAGUGAAAUAAAGACAGUAGAGGCUCUAAACAUCAUAGACAGAAAAAUAAACAGAUAAGAGAUGUUUAACAUUCAGUUUCUGUUUAUGUACAUCAUUCUUGGUUUAAAUGGGCAAAGCUCCAAAACAUCAGGAACAGAAAAUGUUCUUUACAUAAAGUACAGUCACAUUAUUUUUCUCCAUCAAGUCGGUGCAGCUUCAGUCACAGAAAACUUUAUAAUUAGUUUAUUUAAAUAGGAAGAUAUUAAAAUGUCCUGUUUGCUUAUAAAAGUCAUAAAUGUUUCUUUUACCUGUUAGUUUUAGCUCAAAGAUGGAACAAUUUUCUGUGUGGUAUGAUCCAAAGAAAGCAGCAAAUCUUUAUUUUGUACCUAAAAUCAGCAAAUGUUUGACUUUUUAUUGGAAAACCAUCAAUGAAUCAUUCAUCACAGUGAUGUUAUGAAUGUAUUUAUGAAAUAAAAUGAGCAUAAAUCUAAUUUACUAUAGAUAUGAGGGAUUUUUCUCAUAAAGGUGACCAGUCUUUAAUUAUUUACCUCCAUCCUGCAGCGCCCCCUGGUGUCUGAACACCAACAAUGUUUACAUGGAAACAAAAGCUGCUUAUUGACUGAAACUAUGGACUUAUGACCACAUAUGUAACAGUCUAG
Acanthochromis polyacanthus (spiny chromis) is the source of this 4250-nucleotide long non-coding RNA. RefSeq lists it as uncharacterized. The transcript is spliced from 7 exons. The record is from RefSeq and is a predicted model, not a curated record. NCBI's taxonomy places the organism in Eukaryota, Metazoa, Chordata, Actinopteri, Pomacentridae.